RNAcentral lists this transfer RNA (71 nucleotides) under Marmota monax (woodchuck). Its description in RNAcentral is "tRNA.Ala". The record is from RNAcentral. Lineage: Eukaryota; Metazoa; Chordata; Mammalia; Rodentia; Sciuridae.
UGGGUUAUGGCUCAGUGGUAGAGAAUGUGUAUAGCAUUCAAGGGUUCUGGGUACAAUUCCCAGUACCAUAA